CCUACGGGAGGCUGCAGUGAGGAAUAUUGGUCAAUGGGCGCAAGCCUGAACCAGCCAUGCCGCGUGCAGGAAGAAGCAUCUAUGGUGUGUAAACUGCUUUUGUACGGGAAGAAACACUCCCUCGUGAGGGAGCUUGACGGUACCGUAAGAAUAAGGAUCGGCUAACUCCGUGCCAGCAGCCGCGGUAAUACGGAGGAUCCAAGCGUUAUCCGGAAUCAUUGGGUUUAAAGGGUCCGUAGGCGGUUUAAUAAGUCAGUGGUGAAAGCCCAUCGCUCAACGAUGGAACGGCCAUUGAUACUGUUAGACUUGAAUUACAAGGAAGUAACUAGAAUAUGUAGUGUAGCGGUGAAAUGCUUAGAUAUUACAUGGAAUACCAAUUGCGAAGGCAGGUUACUACUUGUGGAUUGACGCUGAUGGACGAAAGCGUGGGGAGCGAACAGGAUUAGAUACCCUGGUAGUC
Molecule: ribosomal RNA, 460 nt
Filed under: uncultured Flavobacterium sp.
Lineage: Bacteria; Pseudomonadati; Bacteroidota; Flavobacteriia; Flavobacteriales; Flavobacteriaceae
Description: bacterial SSU rRNA
Rfam family: Bacterial small subunit ribosomal RNA
Source: RNAcentral